RNAcentral lists this ribosomal RNA (253 nucleotides) under uncultured bacterium. RNAcentral's name for it is "partial 16S ribosomal RNA". It matches the Rfam family "Bacterial small subunit ribosomal RNA", at positions 524 to 776 of the family's 1533-position model. The record is from RNAcentral.
UACAGAGGUCUCAAGCGUUGUUCGGAUUCAUUGGGCGUAAAGGGUGUGUAGGUGGCGCGCUAAGUCGGGUGUGAAAUUUCGGAGCUUAACUCCGAAACUGCAUUCGAUACUGCCGUGCUUGAGGACUGGAGAGGAGACUGGAAUUUACGGUGUAGCAGUGAAAUGCGUAGAUAUCGUAAGGAAGACCAGUGGCGAAGGCGGGUCUCUGGACAGUUCCUGACGCUGAGGCACGAAGGCCAGGGGAGCAAACGGG